GCAAAGUUAUUAGCUCUUCAGUGACACUUGGCAAUAAUAAUGUGAAAAGACGAUGUUACCCUUUAUCUUCAAGCAUUCUGAGGCAGGUUUUUAUCAAGUUGAAGAGUAAAUUGAAGCAAGCUCUCCGGUGGAAAAGGAGCAAUGAUACUCCAAACUAUACCUAUGAUCUUCAUAGCUAUUGGCUCAACUUUGAUGAUGGUCCUCCUUCAAUUCAUCAUGUCCCAUCUAAAGUUUGUUGAUCUUUUUUCUUUGUUUUCUUGAGUGAUUAUUAUUAUGAUGAUUAAUAAUAGUUGAUUUACAUCUUGUUAUUCCAUAGUCAAGUGGUG
This 326-nucleotide long non-coding RNA is filed under the name Arachis ipaensis. RNAcentral's name for it is "long non-coding RNA (AIPA_LNC000317)". The record is from RNAcentral. Lineage: Eukaryota; Viridiplantae; Streptophyta; Magnoliopsida; Fabales; Fabaceae.